This 464-nucleotide ribosomal RNA is filed under the name Vreelandella stevensii. RNAcentral describes it as "partial 16S ribosomal RNA". It matches the Rfam family "Bacterial small subunit ribosomal RNA", at positions 338 to 794 of the family's 1533-position model. The record is from RNAcentral. Lineage: Bacteria; Pseudomonadati; Pseudomonadota; Gammaproteobacteria; Oceanospirillales; Halomonadaceae.
CCUACGGGUGGCUGCAGUGGGGAAUAUUGGACAAUGGGCGAAAGCCUGAUCCAGCCAUGCCGCGUGUGUGAAGAAGGCCUUCGGGUUGUAAAGCACUUUCAGUGGGGAAGAAAGCCUUGGGGCUAAUACCCUCGAGGAAGGACAUCACCCACAGAAGAAGCACCGGCUAACUCCGUGCCAGCAGCCGCGGUAAUACGGAGGGUGCGAGCGUUAAUCGGAAUUACUGGGCGUAAAGCGCGCGUAGGCGGUCUGAUAAGCCGGUUGUGAAAGCCCCGGGCUCAACCUGGGAACGGCAUCCGGAACUGUCAGGCUAGAGUGCAGGAGAGGAAGGUAGAAUUCCCGGUGUAGCGGUGAAAUGCGUAGAGAUCGGGAGGAAUACCAGUGGCGAAGGCGGCCUUCUGGACUGACACUGACGCUGAGGUGCGAAAGCGUGGGUAGCAAACAGGAUUAGAUACCCUUGUAUC